ACGCACGCUGGCGGCGUGCUUAACACCUGCAAGUCGCACGGAAAGGCCUUUUCGGAGGUACUCGAGUGGCGAACGGGUGGGUAACACGUGGGUGAUCUGCCCUGCACUCUGGGAUAAGCCUGGGAAACUGGGUCUAAUACCGGAUAGGACCGCACUUUAGUGUGUGUGGUGGAAAGUUUUUUCGGUGUAGGAUGAGCCCGCGGCCUAUCAGCUUGUUGGUGGGGUAAUGGCCUACCAAGGCGGCGACGGGUAGCCGGACUGAGAGGUUGGUCGGCCACAUUGGGACUGAGAUACGGCCCAGACUCCUACGGGAGGCAGCAGUGGGGAAUAUUGCACAAUGGGCGCAAGCCUGAUGCAGCGACGCCGCGGGGGGGAUGACGGCCUUCGGGUUGUAAACUCCUUUCGCCAGGGACGAAGCGUUUUGUGACGGUACCUGGAGAAGAAGCACCGGCUAACUACGUG
RNAcentral lists this ribosomal RNA (462 nucleotides) under uncultured bacterium. Its description in RNAcentral is "partial 16S ribosomal RNA". It matches the Rfam family "Bacterial small subunit ribosomal RNA", at positions 29 to 507 of the family's 1533-position model. The record is from RNAcentral.